UGUCGGCAGGGAGACCCCGGACGGCCAA
RNAcentral lists this small RNA (28 nucleotides) under Bombyx mori (domestic silkworm). RNAcentral's name for it is "ovarian small RNA-35735". The record is from RNAcentral. Lineage: Eukaryota; Metazoa; Arthropoda; Insecta; Lepidoptera; Bombycidae.